CUAUAAGUAGUCUGCAAUCCGCCAUUUUAACAAAUACGAAGAAGAGUGUUUGAAUGACGUGGCUUUCAGCUUAGACGGAAGAGAGCCAGCUUCAUUUGCAGGAGCCCUGGACUAUCACUUAAGCGUCAUUCAAAACAGAAACAACACAAACAUUAAGGAUGGUGACUGAUGUUCAGCUGGCAAUCUUUGCCAACAUGCUUGGAGUGUCGUUAUUCCUGCUGGUUGUGCUCUAUCAUUAUGUUGCUGUGAAUAAUCCCAAGAAGCAGGAGUAGAUUUCACUACAAUGACUGGAGAAGUGAGAUAAGAGUCGGAGUCCCAAUCUUCCCAUCCAGUUCACCUUUAGAAGAUGUUCUGUUGCACCACAUUGUUUUAUUUCUAAUAAAAAAAAAAUGUUGAAUUCA
Molecule: RNA transcript, 401 nt
Organism: Cyprinodon tularosa
Lineage: Eukaryota; Metazoa; Chordata; Actinopteri; Cyprinodontiformes; Cyprinodontidae
Gene: ost4
Gene name: oligosaccharyltransferase complex subunit 4 (non-catalytic)
Exons: 3
Source: RefSeq, a predicted model, not a curated record